RNAcentral lists this ribosomal RNA (260 nucleotides) under Mesorhizobium huakuii. RNAcentral describes it as "16S rRNA". It matches the Rfam family "Bacterial small subunit ribosomal RNA", at positions 46 to 334 of the family's 1533-position model. Lineage: Bacteria; Pseudomonadati; Pseudomonadota; Alphaproteobacteria; Hyphomicrobiales; Phyllobacteriaceae. The record is from RNAcentral.
AGGCUUAACACAUGCAAGUCGAGCGCCCCGCAAGGGGAGCGGCAGACGGGUGAGUAACGCGUGGGAAUCUACCCAUCUCUACGGAACAACUCCGGGAAACUGGAGCUAAUACCGUAUACGUCCUUCGGGAGAAAGAUUUAUCGGAGAUGGAUGAGCCCGCGUUGGAUUAGCUAGUUGGUGGGGUAAUGGCCUACCAAGGCGACGAUCCAUAGCUGGUCUGAGAGGAUGAUCAGCCACACUGGGACUGAGACACGGCCCAG